UAAAGCGCGCGCAGGCGGCUAUUUAAGUCUGGUGUUUAAACCUUGGGCUCAACCUGAGGUCGCACUGGAAACUGGGUGGCUUGAGUACAGAAGAGGAAAGUGGAGUCCACGUGUAGCGGUGAAAUGCGUAGAGAUGUGGAGGAACACCAGUGGCGAAGGCGACUUUCUGGGCUGUAACUGACGCUGAGGCGCGAAAGCGUGGGGAGCAAACAGGAUUAGGUACCCUGGUAGUCCACGCCGUAAACGAUGAGUGCUAGGUGUUAGGGGUUUCGAUACCCUUGGUGCCGAAGUUAACACAGUAAGCACUCCGCCUGGGGAGUACGGUCGCAAGACUGAAACUCACAGGAAUUGACGGGGACCCGCACAAUCAGUGGAGUAUGUGGUCUAAUUCGAAGCAACGCGAAGAACCUUACCAGGUCUUGACAUCCCUCUGAAUCCUCUAGAGAUAGAGGCGUCUUUCGGGACAGAGGAGACAGGUGGUGCAUGGUUGUCGUCAGAUCGUGUCGUGAGAUGUUGGUUUAAGUCCCGCAACGAGCGCAACCAUUGACUUUAGUUGCCAUCAGGUUGAGCAGGGCACUCUAGAGUGACUGCCGGUGACAAACCGGAGGAAGGUGGGGAUGACGUCAAAUCAUCAUGCCCCUUAUGACCUGGGCUACACACGUACUACAAUGGCCGGUACAACGGGAAGCGAAGCCGCGAGGUGGAGCCAAUCCCAGCAAAGCCGGUCUCAGUUCGGAUUGCAGGCUGCAACUCGCCUGCAUGAAGUCGGAAU
This 772-nucleotide ribosomal RNA is filed under the name uncultured bacterium. RNAcentral describes it as "bacterial SSU rRNA". It matches the Rfam family "Bacterial small subunit ribosomal RNA", at positions 561 to 1332 of the family's 1533-position model. The record is from RNAcentral.